GGGAGCAGGAGGGUCGCUGACAGUGUACGACACUGAGGAAAGUCCCCUCUCCGCGAUGCAGGUGGUCCGGCGCAAGCCGGAGGUCCGGGAGGGCCGGCUCUGCAACAGAAACGAACCACGACAGGCGUACUGUGAACCCGAAAGGGAGAGGUUUCCUGGCCGUGGCUGGAACGAGCA
Molecule: RNase P RNA, 177 nt
Filed under: Methanobacteriota archaeon
Lineage: Archaea; Methanobacteriati; Methanobacteriota
Description: Euryarchaeota archaeon partial RNase P RNA component
Rfam family: Archaeal RNase P
About the family: Ribonuclease P (RNase P) is a ubiquitous endoribonuclease, found in archaea, bacteria and eukarya as well as chloroplasts and mitochondria.
Source: RNAcentral